Long non-coding RNA from Lutra lutra (Eurasian river otter), 672 nucleotides. RefSeq lists it as uncharacterized. Lineage: Eukaryota; Metazoa; Chordata; Mammalia; Carnivora; Mustelidae. The transcript is spliced from 3 exons. The record is from RefSeq and is a predicted model, not a curated record.
UGAAUUUGUUUCUUCCAUUGCAUUUGUCCAAAGAACCGAAGGUCAGGAAAUACAAAAAUAACAGAACUCUACAAAUAUUUUUAAAAUUUCUAGACUGUACUUGAAAUAAUUCCAUUUCAUUCCAUAUGCUUUGCUAUCCCCAAAGUAGGAAUUUUGUGUGUUAAGAGAACUAGUACCACUGUCUGAUAAUCAGCUUCUGAAGAGGAAAAGCCUUCAGAUCAUCUGAACAUCAUACAUUUCAUAAUUAAACCAAAUCUCUUACCUUCUACAAACAUUGACUCUGUGAAACCCAACUGCCACCACGUUGCUUGUAAGCAACACUGGCAUUCUACCAGAGUAACAUCAGAGAACUUGUUAGAGAGUGAAUACUGGGUUUAGAGAUAGAGAAAAAAAGGUUUAUGAACCUUCUGUGUCCAGAUGAAUCCCUGUUGAAUUCUCACUCUGUUGUGGUGACUUAAUCCACAGCCCAUUCAGUGCCCCUUACUACUACCUCCGAAAUCUGACUACAGGUACUAUCUGUGGGUCUAGGAAUCUUGCAAAACUCAAGUUGAGUCUCACCAGGAAGCUGAAGUAACACCUAUUAUGCAGAGAAAGUAUUCCUCUGAAUAUAGAAUACUUUCCAGAGUAUAAUCUCCGAUGAACAAACAGGUGUUUGAUUAUAUGGUCAGUAAA